This 460-nucleotide ribosomal RNA is filed under the name uncultured bacterium. RNAcentral's name for it is "partial 16S ribosomal RNA". It matches the Rfam family "Bacterial small subunit ribosomal RNA", at positions 338 to 795 of the family's 1533-position model. The record is from RNAcentral.
CCUACGGGUGGCAGCAGUGAGGAAUAUUGGUCAAUGGACGAGAGUCUGAACCAGCCAAGUAGCGUGAAGGAUGACUGCCCUAUGGGUUGUAAACUUCUUUUAUAUGGGAAUAAAAUGUUCCACGUGUGGGAUUUUGUAUGUACCCUAUGAAUAAGGAUCGGCUAACUCCGUGCCAGCAGCCGCGGUAAUACGGAGGAUCCGAGCGUUAUCCGGAUUUAUUGGGUUUAAAGGGAGCGUAGGUUGAUUUUUAAGUCAGUUGUGAAAGUUUGCGGCUCAACCGUAAAAUUGCAGUUGAAACUGGCAGUCUUGAGUACAGUAGAGGUGGGCGGAAUUCGUGGUGUAGCGGUGAAAUGCUUAGAUAUCACGAAGAACUCCGAUUGCGAAGGCAGUUCACUGGACUGCAACUGACACUGAGGCUCGAAAGUGUGGGUAUCAAACAGGAUUAGAUACCCUUGUAGUC